Non-coding RNA from Triticum aestivum (bread wheat), 128 nucleotides. The record is from Rfam. Lineage: Eukaryota; Viridiplantae; Streptophyta; Magnoliopsida; Poales; Poaceae.
GUACUACUCCCUCCGUUCCUAAUUAUUUGUCUUGGAUUUGUCUAGAUACAGAUUUAUCUAGACUUAUUUAGAUAAAUUUGUAUCUAGACAAAUCCAAGACAAGUAAUUCGGAACGGAGGGAGUAGCUC